UAACCAUAGAGUUUGAUCCUGGCUCAGUAAGUCGUAACAAGGUAACCAUAGAGUUUGAUCCUGGCUCAGAUUGAACGCUGGCGGCAGGCCUAACACAUGCAAGUCGAGCGUGAAAGGGCUUCGGCCUGAGUAAAGCGGCGAACGGGUGAGUAACGCGUGGGAAUCUGCCUGGUAAUGGGGGACAACAUCUCGAAAGGGAUGCUAAUACCGCAUACGUCCUACGGGAGAAAGCAGGGGAUCAUUUGACCUUGCGCUAAUAGAUGAGCCUAAGUCGGAUUAGCUAGUUGGUGGGGUAAAGGCCUACCAAGGCGACGAUCUGUAGCGGGUCUGGGAGGAUGAUCCGCCACACUGGGACUGAGACACGGCCCAGACUCCUACGGGAGGCAGCAGUGGGGAAUAUUGGACAAUGGGGGGAACCUUGAUCCAGCCAUGCCGCGUGUGUGAAGAAGGCCUUUUGGUUGUAAAGCACUUUAAGCGAGGAGGAGGCUCUCUUGGUUAAUACCUGAGAAGAGUGGACGUUACUCGCAGAAUAAGCACCGGCUAACUCUGUGCCAGCAGCCGCGGUAAUACAGAGGGUGCGAGCGUUAAUCGGAUUUACUGGGCGUAAAGCGCGCGUAGGUGGCUAAUUAAGUCAAAUGUGAAAUCCCCGAGCUUAACUUGGGAAUUGCAUUCGAUACUGGUUGGCUAGAGUAUGGGAGAGGAUGGUAGAAUUCCAGGUGUAGCGGUGAAAUGCGUAGAGAUCUGGAGGAAUACCGAUGGCGAAGGCAGCCAUCUGGCCUAAUACUGACACUGAGGUGCGAAAGCAUGGGGAGCAAACAGGAUUAGAUACCCUGGUAGUCCAUGCCGUAAACGAUGUCUAC
RNAcentral lists this ribosomal RNA (860 nucleotides) under uncultured bacterium. RNAcentral's name for it is "bacterial SSU rRNA". It matches the Rfam family "Bacterial small subunit ribosomal RNA", at positions 1 to 816 of the family's 1533-position model. The record is from RNAcentral.